This 115-nucleotide ribosomal RNA is filed under the name Nanobdellota archaeon. Lineage: Archaea; Nanobdellati; Nanobdellota. The record is from RNAcentral.
GAAGACGGCCAUAAUAGGUUGGAAACACCUGUUCCCAUUCCGAACACAGAAGUUAAGCUUCCUAUGUUAAUGGUUUUAGUUUCUGAAAAGAUGCGAACCCAUUAAGUCGUCCUCU